This 571-nucleotide ribosomal RNA is filed under the name uncultured fungus. RNAcentral describes it as "eukaryotic LSU rRNA". The stretch from base 208 to 361 matches the Rfam family "5.8S ribosomal RNA". The record is from RNAcentral. Lineage: Eukaryota; Fungi.
CGUAACAAGGUCUCCGUAGGUGAACCUGCGGAGGGAUCAUUACACAAAUAUGAAGGCGGGCUGGAACCUCUCGGGGUUACAGCCUUGCUGAAUUAUUCACCCUUGUCUUUUGCGUACUUCUUGUUUCCUUGGUGGGUUCGCCCACCACUAGGACAAACAUAAACCUUUUGUAAUUGCAAUCAGCGUCAGUAACAAAUUAAUAAUUACAACUUUCAACAACGGAUCUCUUGGUUCUGGCAUCGAUGAAGAACGCAGCGAAAUGCGAUAAGUAGUGUGAAUUGCAGAAUUCAGUGAAUCAUCGAAUAUUUGAACGCACAUUGCGCCCUUUGGUAUUCCAAAGGGCAUGCCUGUUCGAGCGUCAUUUGUACCCUCAAGCUUUGCUUGGUGUUGGGCGUCUUGUCUCUAGCUUUGCUGGAGACUCGCCUUAAAGUAAUUGGCAGCCGGCCUACUGGUUUCGGAGCGCAGCACAAGUCGCACUCUCUAUCAGCAAAGGUCUAGCAUCCAUUAAGCCUUUUUUUUCAACUUUUGACCUCGGAUCAGGUAGGGAUACCCGCUGAACUUAAGCAUAUCA